UCCUACGGGAGGCAGCAGUAGGGAAUCUUCCGCAAUGGACGAAAGUCUGACGGAGCAACGCCGCGUGAGUGAUGAAGGCUUUCGGGUCGUAAAACUCUGUUGUUAGGGAAGAACAAGUGCUAGUUGAAUAAGCUGGCACCUUGACGGUACCUAACCAGAAAGCCACGGCUAACUACGUGCCAGCAGCCGCGGUAAUACGUAGGUGGCAAGCGUUAUCCGGAAUUAUUGGGCGUAAAGCGCGCGCAGGUGGUUUCUUAAGUCUGAUGUGAAAGCCCACGGCUCAACCGUGGAGGGUCAUUGGAAACUGGGAGACUUGAGUGCAGAAGAGGAAAGUGGAAUUCCAUGUGUAGCGGUGAAAUGCGUAGAGAUAUGGAGGAACACCAGUGGCGGAGGCGACUUUCUGGUCUGUAACUGACACUGAGGCGCGAAAGCGUGGAGAGCAAACAGGAUUAGAUACCCUGGUAGUCCACGCCGUAAACGAUGAGUGCUAAGUGUUAGAGGGUUUCCGCCCUUUAGUGCUGAAGUUAACGCAUUAAGCACUCCGCCUGGGGAGUACGGCCGCAAGGCUGAAACUCAAAGGAAUUGACGGA
This 590-nucleotide ribosomal RNA is filed under the name uncultured bacterium. Its description in RNAcentral is "bacterial SSU rRNA". It matches the Rfam family "Bacterial small subunit ribosomal RNA", at positions 337 to 917 of the family's 1533-position model. The record is from RNAcentral.